GACGUAGGGCGCGAGCGUUUGUCCGGAUUUAUUGGGCGUAAAGGGCUCGUAGGCGGCUUGUUGCGUCGACCGUGAAAACCCGGGGCUCAACUUCGGGCUUGCGGUCGAUACGGGCGGGCUAGAGUUCGGUAGGGGAGACUGGAAUUCCUGGUGUAGCGGUGAAAUGCGCAGAUAUCAGGAGGAACACCGGUGGCGAAGGCGGGUCUCUGGGCCGAUACUGACGCUGAGGAGCGAAAGCGUGGGGAGCGAACAGG
This 254-nucleotide ribosomal RNA is filed under the name uncultured bacterium. RNAcentral describes it as "partial 16S ribosomal RNA". It matches the Rfam family "Bacterial small subunit ribosomal RNA", at positions 524 to 776 of the family's 1533-position model. The record is from RNAcentral.